This 487-nucleotide ribosomal RNA is filed under the name uncultured bacterium. Its description in RNAcentral is "partial 16S ribosomal RNA". It matches the Rfam family "Bacterial small subunit ribosomal RNA", at positions 28 to 507 of the family's 1533-position model. The record is from RNAcentral.
GAUGAACGCUAGCGAUAGGCUUAACACAUGCAAGUCGAGGGGCAGCACAAGGUAGCUUGCUCUCUGGGUGGCGACCGGCGCACGGGUGCGUAACGCGUAUGCAACUUGCCCUAUACAGGAGGAUAACCCGUCGAAAGACGGACUAAUACUGCGUAUGCUCACAACUUGGCAUCAAGUGGUGAGGAAAGAAAUUCGGUAUAGGAUGGGCAUGCGUCCCAUUAGCUUGUUGGUGAGGUAACGGCUCACCAAGGCAACGAUGGGUAGGGGAACUGAGAGGUUUAUCCCCCACACUGGUACUGAGACACGGGCCAGACUCCUACGGGAGGCAGCAGUGAGGAAUAUUGGUCAAUGGGCGCGAGCCUGAACCAGCCAAGUCGCGUGAAGGAUGACUGUCUUAUGGAUUGUAAACUUCUUUUAGACGGGAAUAACAAGAGUCACGUGUGACUCCCUGCAUGUACCGUAUGAAUAAGCAUCGGCUAACUCCGUG